AUGAGUUUUUAUCUCGUCUCCGCUCUGAGUUUGAGCCCAGACGUGCUCACUUGCUUGCUCGUGGUCGUGUUCCUAUCUCGGAGGUGCUUGCCGAGCUUCGUGCUGAGGAGACUCGCCUUCGCUCUGCUGGUCUGCUGGUGGUCCCGUCUGUAUUGGCUGCUCGGGCUCCAGUGUCGUCCGCUCGGCUCACUGCUCCCCCGCUCCUACCCACGCCUUCAGGGGGGUCGUCCUGCUUAUGCUGAGAAGGGCCGGUCGCGACGUGACACCUUCUGCGGCUACUGCUCUCGGCCAGGUCAUCCCGAGUCUGAUUCCCGUGAGAAGAAGCGAGACCAGAGGCGCUCCUCUUCCAGUGGGACUCCUGGAUCUUUCUCGACUGCGUCACUCACCGGCCAGGACAUUGUGAGGCUCAAGCGUCUCUUGGCUUCCUCAGGCUCUUUGUCGACUGGUUUCGCUGCUGCUGUAACUGUAUCUACCUCUCCAUCACCGCAGGCACCUACUCAGUCAGGUACAUCUUCGUGGGUUCUGGAUUCUGGAGCCUCCUUUCAUGUCUUCUAA
RNAcentral lists this ribosomal RNA (555 nucleotides) under Triticum aestivum (bread wheat). RNAcentral's name for it is "partial small subunit ribosomal RNA". The record is from RNAcentral. Lineage: Eukaryota; Viridiplantae; Streptophyta; Magnoliopsida; Poales; Poaceae.